CAAACGAAAAGGCAAAGUCACUGAAAGGUGAUGACGCAAAACAGAGGGGCUAAAGUCUUAGUACCAAGCCGGCCCUGUUACCGAA
Molecule: non-coding RNA, 85 nt
Filed under: Litchfieldia salsa
Lineage: Bacteria; Bacillati; Bacillota; Bacilli; Caryophanales; Bacillaceae
Description: Bacillus sp. A24(2010) c-di-GMP-I riboswitch aptamer
Rfam family: c-di-GMP-I riboswitch aptamer
About the family: GEMM was predicted in a large-scale screen for bacterial structured RNA regulatory elements.
Source: Rfam by way of RNAcentral